AACUUUACAGUUCUUAAGUGUGGCAAUUAAGUUCUCACAUGCCUGUGUGACAUGUGCCUCCCUCAAACUUUGUUACAACACAGGCAUGUUACCCAUCUGAUG
Molecule: small nucleolar RNA, 102 nt
Organism: Perognathus longimembris pacificus (Pacific pocket mouse)
Lineage: Eukaryota; Metazoa; Chordata; Mammalia; Rodentia; Heteromyidae
Product: small nucleolar RNA U13
Exons: 1
Source: RefSeq, a predicted model, not a curated record